Molecule: non-coding RNA, 72 nt
Organism: Agrilus planipennis (emerald ash borer)
Lineage: Eukaryota; Metazoa; Arthropoda; Insecta; Coleoptera; Buprestidae
Source: Rfam
UCUCUCGUAGCUUAGUGGCAGAACAUUGGUGCGUAAAGCCAAAGGCCCCGGGUUCGAUUCCCGGCGGGGGUC